Molecule: non-coding RNA, 502 nt
Filed under: Pongo abelii (Sumatran orangutan)
Lineage: Eukaryota; Metazoa; Chordata; Mammalia; Primates; Hominidae
Source: RNAcentral
ACACGGAAAGUAAUGAAGAAAAAAGUUAGCGCUGAAGUACAAUGCAUACUCCUGAGGUUCUUAAACUUUACCAGUCUAACAGAAAGCACCAAGAUACAGAUGCCAAAGUUAGAAAAAAUACAAAGCAGCUCAGAAUCAAUAUCAUAUAUCUUAUUCAAGGUAAAUUUUAUGUUAGAUUGUUUGUCUGGCAUUUGGGAGGCUAAAUUAACUUAGGAGGCUAGAAAUCCCAUCUCUACUUUUUUUUUCUUUUUGAGAUGGAGUCUUACUCUGUCGCCCAGGCUGGAGUGCAGUGGCAUGAUCUCGGCUCACUGCAACCUCCGCCUUCCCAGUUCACGCCAUUCUCCUGCUUCAGCCUUCCGAGUAGCUGGGACUACAGGAGAAUCACUUGAACCUGGGAGGUGGAGGUUGCAGUGAGCAGAGGUUACAGUGAGCCAAGAUCGCGCCAUUGCACUCCAGCCUGGGAGACAAAAGUGAAACUCCAUCUCAAAAAAAUAAAAAAUAA